CAAUAGCGUAUAUUUAAGUUGUUGCAGUUAAAAAGCUCGUAGUUGGACUUUGGGUUGGGUCGGCCGGUCCGCCGUUUGGUGUGCACCGGUCGCCUCGUCCCUUCUGCCGGCGAUGCGCUCCUGUCCUUAAUUGGCCGGGUCGUGCCUCCGGCGUUGUUACUUUGAAGAAAUUAGAGUGCUCAAAGCAAGCCUACGCUCUGUAUACAUUAGCAUGGGAUAACAUCAUAGGAUUUCGGUCCUAUUACGUUGGCCUUCGGGAUCGGAGUAAUGAUUAAUAGGGACAGUCGGGGGCAUUAGUACUCACAUGCUAGAGGUGAAAUUCUUGGAUUUUGUGAAGACUAACUUCUGCGAAAGCAUUUGCCAAGGAUGUUUUCAUUAA
Molecule: ribosomal RNA, 379 nt
Filed under: uncultured eukaryote
Lineage: Eukaryota
Description: partial 18S ribosomal RNA
Rfam family: Eukaryotic small subunit ribosomal RNA
Source: RNAcentral